CACGUGUCUAAAGGUAUCCGAAAAAAGAUGGUGGCAGCCAGUAAGGAGAAAAACUGUGAAGCUCUGGAACUGUGGGUGAAGCCAGUGAUAAACCAUCUCUACCACUGCGUCACCCAUAGUGAAGGGGAUCCUGAACAAGUUAUCUCCAUGUGGCGUAGUUUCAACAAUCACGUUUCAAAUGUCCAUCAUGGUCAUGAUGGACCGUACUCACGGUGCCUUCACACACCCCUCAGUGAUCAAAAGCGCCCUUGGCUUCUGCCAGACUCUCGUCCAAAGGCAAAACUGACCGCCAUCACUGAGGCAAAGUA
Ornithodoros turicata is the source of this 308-nucleotide long non-coding RNA. RefSeq lists it as uncharacterized. The record is from RefSeq and is a predicted model, not a curated record. NCBI's taxonomy places the organism in Eukaryota, Metazoa, Arthropoda, Arachnida, Ixodida, Argasidae. The transcript is spliced from 3 exons.